This 439-nucleotide ribosomal RNA is filed under the name uncultured bacterium. RNAcentral's name for it is "partial 16S ribosomal RNA". It matches the Rfam family "Bacterial small subunit ribosomal RNA", at positions 339 to 795 of the family's 1533-position model. The record is from RNAcentral.
CUACGGGGUGCUCCAGUGAGGAAUAUUGCACAAUGGGGGGAACCCUGAUGCAGCAACGCCGCGUGGAGGAUGACGCAUUUCGGUGUGUAAACUCCUUUUAUAUGUCAAGAAAAUGACGGUGGCAUAUGAAUAAGCACCGGCUAACUCCGUGCCAGCAGCCGCGGUAAUACGGAGGGUGCAAGCGUUACUCGGAAUCACUGGGCGUAAAGGGCGCGUAGGCGGGUUGGUAAGUCAGGUGUGAAAUCCUACAGCUUAACUGUAGAACUGCACUUGAAACUUCUAAUCUAGAGUAUGGGAGGGGGAGAUGGAAUUAGUGGUGUAGGGGUAAAAUCCGUAGAUAUCACUAGGAAUACCUAAAGCGAAGGCGAUCUCCUGGAACAUUACUGACGCUAAGGCGUGAAAGCGUGGGGAGCAAACAGGAUUAGAUACCCUUGUAGUC